GAGUGGUGAUCGUGAUUAUUGGGUCUAAAGGGUCCGUAGCCGGUUUGGUCAGUCCUCCGGGAAAUCUGAUAGCUCAACUAUUAGGCUUUCGGGGGAUACUGCCAGACUUGGAACCGGGAGAGGUAAGAGGUACUACAGGGGUAGGAGUGAAAUCUUGUAAUCCCUGUGGGACCACCUGUGGCGAAGGCGUCUUACCAGAACGGGUUCGACGGUGAGGGACGAAAGCUGGGGGCACGAACCGGAUUAGAUACCCGGGUAGUCCCAGCCGUAAACGAUGCUCGCUAGGUGUCAGGCAUGGCGCGACCGUGUCUGGUGCCGCAGGGAAGCCGUGAAGCGAGCCACCUGGGAAGUACGGCCGCAAGGCUGAAACUUAAAGGAAUUGGCGGGGGAGCACAACAACGGGUGGAAGCCUGCGGUUUAAUUGGACUCAACGCCGGACAACUCACCGGGGGCGACAGCAAUAUGUAGGCCAAGCUGAAGACUUUGCCUGAAUCGCUGAGGAGUGGUGCAUGG
RNAcentral lists this ribosomal RNA (513 nucleotides) under uncultured archaeon. RNAcentral's name for it is "bacterial SSU rRNA". It matches the Rfam family "Archaeal small subunit ribosomal RNA", at positions 486 to 997 of the family's 1478-position model. The record is from RNAcentral.